RNAcentral lists this long non-coding RNA (1413 nucleotides) under Homo sapiens (human). Its description in RNAcentral is "HSALNT0295155". The record is from RNAcentral. Lineage: Eukaryota; Metazoa; Chordata; Mammalia; Primates; Hominidae.
GUGGCGCCGGCUCUGGCGCGGAGAGGCGCAGGCCCAGGCUCCACUCCCCAGCUGUGAAAGGGUUUUCUGCCUCCUGCUAAGCCAAUUUAUACAUUCCAAGAAAAUCUUCCAUUUCAUCCAGGUGAAACAGAACCUACUGGAAUGAAGCUGGCCUCCCAUGGAAUGAAGCUGGCCUCCCGUCUCCUUGAUUUGAAGCAGCUUCUCCACCUUCAACAUUGCUUUAUGGCAUGUGUGGUCGUUUUUCACUCCAUUGUUGUUGUUUACCCAGUUUAUGGGGGUUGUAAUGUUUAUCACACUCCUUGGAUGAUUUCCGAAGAUCACCCCAUCCUGAGAUCUGCUGCCUUACACAGUGGAGGCUGUUUUCUGAGUGUCGGAUAACUCUGUUAUUAAAUAAGUGCAUAUUGAGAAUACUCACUCCAGAUGCUUAGAGGCAUGUUGAGAAGGACAAAGAUAGUGCCUCCUGUCAGGUCACUUACAUCAGAACUUGCAGGAAACCUGCUUUAUACAGCAGUUGACAGGUGUGGAAAUUGAAGCUCAUGGAAAUGAAAGUUAAUACGCUAAAUUUUCAAGGAGUUAAUGAAAACUGACAUUUCUGCUAAAAACAGCAUGUUCUCCCUGUGGGAUUUUAAAGGAAGGUCAAUGGUAACUGUACAAAGAAGAAAUGGACACAGUCUCAUUGUUAGCAGUCUGAAAAUAGUUGCUAGCACCUCCAUGCCCACGCCAAUGUCUCCAGCCUCUUUCAGGCACCUUGCUGUGUCUUGGAACCACUGGGAGCCCUCACAGGAGGCCCUUCGUUCCUGUAUGCAUGUGGUGCCACAAGCUGCUUUGGGCCCGGAGGAAUCCUACACAUCUCAGAACACUUCCUCACCUGACCCUGUCACCCAUCUCUCCCCUUCUCAUGUGCUCAGCCCCUUCUUUGACUCUUGAAUUUUGAGUUUUUACAGAUGUUUGGGAGCUCUUACCCUGACAUGAAUUUACAAUUGUAAUGGAGACUCAGACAACGUUGUAGAUCACAGAGUGAACUAUGCUUUUUAGUGUUAAAUGCAAUAGCUUAAGAUAGAAUGUUUUACUUGUUACAUAAAUGCUGGUUUUCUUUCAGAUUUAAGGAUAUAUACUUUUUUUUUUUAAGAGAUAGGGUCUUCUAUGUUGCCCAGGCUGGCUUUGAACUCCUGGGAUCAAGUGAUCCUCCUGCCUCAGCCUUCAAAGUAGUUGGGACUACAGGCCCACGCCACCGUGCAUGGCUGGACACGUAAAUUUGAAGUGAAUGGUUAAACAUCCAGCUAGCUGAAAGCAUGACAGACCCUAACAGAAAAGCUACAGUGUGUUUUUGCAGCUAUGAAGUGAAUGGUUUCCUGGGGAAAAUUGUGACUUUGUAUAACUAUUUUUGAAACCAGAAUAAAUUAUAUUUCACUU